Molecule: ribosomal RNA, 457 nt
Filed under: Trichocomaceae sp.
Lineage: Eukaryota; Fungi; Ascomycota; Eurotiomycetes; Eurotiales; Trichocomaceae
Description: eukaryotic LSU rRNA
Rfam family: Eukaryotic large subunit ribosomal RNA
Source: RNAcentral
UCCGAGUUGUAAUUUGCAGAGGAUGCUUCGGGUGUGGCCCCUGUCUAAGUGCCCUGGAAUGGGCCGUCGGAGAGGGUGAGAAUCCCGUCUGGGAUGGGGUGCCCGCGCCCGUGUGAAGCUCCCUCGACGAGUCGAGUUGUUUGGGAAUGCAGCUCUAAGUGGGUGGUAAAUUUCAUCUAAAGCUAAAUACCGGCCGGAGACCGAUAGCGCACAAGUAGAGUGAUCGAAAGAUGAAAAGCACCUUGAAAAGGGAGUUAAACAGCACGUGAAAUUGUUGAAAGGGAAGCGCUGACGACCAGACUCGCCUUUGGGGUUCAGCCGGCUUUCGGGCCGGUGUACUUCCCCAGGGGCGGGCCAGCGUCGGUUUGGGCGGCCGGUCAAAGGCCCCCGGAAUGUAGCGCCUCUCGGGGCGCCUUAUAGCCGGGGGUGCAAUGCGGCCAGCCGGACCGAGGAACGC